CCCAGGAGAUGGACAAAAUGUGAAAGAAAGGAUUUCUAUGAAAAAAUGUCUGUGACAAUCCCCAACAGCUGACUCGGUGGUUUUUGUGGUGUUUUUUCCGUGGCAGGACGAGGCGGGGGCCGAGAAGGAGAACAGCUCGGUGCUGCAGCAGAGCAGCUCCCUGGCGGGCAGCAGGAACGGCGACGAGAACGUCAUCGACAACCCCUACCUGAGGCCCGUCAAGAAACCCAAAAUCCGCAGGAAGAAGUGAAGGAAACGGUUCCCGAAAUUCCCCUCAGGAGGGGUCUCUGGGCCCACUCCCACCCUGCUCUCCCUCUGCUCACUGCCCUGGGCCAGGAGAACCCUUGGGAAUGGUCCGGGGGGCUUCGGGCUCUGCUCUGGGGGGAUUUCAUUGCUGAGGGGCUGAGAGAGCCAGGGCUUGGAGGGGCUGGGGGACACAGGGAUGGAUUUGGAUUUGGAGGACACAGGAAUUGGAUUUGAAUUUGGAUUUGGAUUUAGAGGACACAGGAAUUGGAUUUGAAUUUGGAUUUGGAGGACACAGGGGCUGGAUUUGGAUUUGGAUUUGGAGGACACAGGAAUUGGAUUUGGAUUCGGAUUUGGAUUUGGAGCACCCAAGGGUUGGAUUUGGAGGACACAGGAGCUGGAGCUGAGGGAUCCAGGGCUUGGAGGGACACAGGGAUUGGAUUUGGAUUUGAAUUUGGAUUUGGAGGACACAGGGGUUGGGAUUGGGUUUGGAUUUGGAGGACCCAGCCUUUAUUUCCCCCCUUUAUUCCCUUUAUUUCCUUCCUUUAUUUCCUCCUUUUAUUCCCUUUAUUUCCCCCCUUUACUUCCUUUAUUCCCCCCUUUAUUCCCUUUUAUUUCCCCCCUUUAUUCCCUUUAUUUCCUUCCUUUAUUUCCCCCCUUUAUUUUCCCCCUUUAUUCCCUUUAUUUCCCCCCUUUAUUCCCUUUAUUUCCUUUAUUUCCUCCCUUUAUUUCCUCCCUUUAUUCCCUUUAUUUCCCCCCUUUAUUUCCUCCCUUUAUUUCCCCCCUUUAUUUCCUGCCUUUAUUCCCUUUAUUUUCCCCCUUUAUUCCCUUUAUUUCCCCCCUUUAUUCCCUUUAUUUCCCCCUUUAUUUCCCCCCUUUAUUCCCUUUAUUUCCUUCAUUUAUUUCCUCCCUUUAUUUCCUUUAUUUCCCCCCUUUAUUUCCCCCUUUUAUUCCCUUUAUUCCCUUUAUUUCCCCCCUUUAUUUCCUCCCUUUAUUUCCUUUAUUUCCCCCCUUUAUUUCCUCCCUUUAUUUCCACAUCACUCUUGUCAUUAUUUGCUGCUUCUGGAGGGCUUUGCUUUCAUUUCCCUUCAGCAUUUUCUUAUAGAAAAUAAAGAAGAAAAAUCUUCUUCAUUUUAGGGUUAAAAAAAACAAAAAAAGGUUUUCUUUGGUUCCUUUAGAAAAACCAUUUGGGUUUUCUUUAACCCAAAACCUGGGUUCAGUUCCCAUCAGAAAAAGCUCCUGAGGUUUGGUCCAAAAUCCUCCNGUUUAUUCACUCCAUCAAUCACUUUUUAUAACCGUGUUAAUUAAGUUCAUGCAUAUUGCAAUGAACUUAA
Molecule: long non-coding RNA, 1577 nt
Organism: Zonotrichia albicollis (white-throated sparrow)
Lineage: Eukaryota; Metazoa; Chordata; Aves; Passeriformes; Passerellidae
Source: Ensembl